CCCUGGUCCAAAUUGCUCAGAUCAUAUAAUUAUUUGUCAGCAAAAAGCAGAGUUUAAACAAUUUGACACUGUUGCACCAGUUUCUGUUACAAUGGAUACUUUUCUAAAUACACAAAACGUUCUAAAUAUAGAAUAGAAACUGUUAUACUACAUAACGUUACAAGUUUUUCUUAGGAAGAUUACAGGUACCACACAAGUUUCUAGAUUCAAAAUUUAACAGGUCAAACAUUAGAAGGUGGAACAAGGGAAACAAAAAAGGAUUAGCUGUUAAGACAAUAUAAUACACUAAAUUCUGAUAUUGUUACCAAUGAAUUCUCCUUUUGCAUCCCAUGGACGAUAUUCAAAAGACUUUCCAAUGAUACUGCGAUUCUCGUUUAUAUUCCCAUCAUUGCAGCGGUAUUCUGGAAAGUAAUCCAGGAAUCCUUUGCUUCCUAGUUCGUCAAUUCCAUUGAAAAGGAAGUUCUUUAUCACAUCCUAUAGGUUAGAUGUGAAGUAUCAACUACUCCUCUAGUUGAUGUGAAACAUUAUAAAAUUGAGCAAACCAAGAAUGAUACCUUUGCAAGACUUUCACCAAUCAACCUUUUCAGAACUCCAUGGCCUGGAUCCUUUUCUGCUCUCCAUGUUAGAUACUUAUGUUGUGCUUCACAGUUGCAUAUAAUAUGAGAUACAUCUUUCUCUUCCACAGCUAGGUCAACCAGCUGAAGCCAUGCCUUGUAGUAAUCCACAAAUGCAGAAUACAAAUCAUCAUGUCUGUACUGGCUUUUGGUAAACUUGGUCCAUAUCACAAUUGGUGAGAAAAAUUGCAAGGACUCACUUGUGAGCUUUCCACCCCAAGGAAAAAGCUCUGCAUACUUGAGACCUACAGGCAAUAAACUUUCAUAGUACUUUUCUUUGUAAUCACUUCGGUCAAUGACAUUAUGCAAGGGAUUAAGGUCCAACACGAUGAUGUUCAUGCUGGCAGCAGUGAAAAAAUUGGCACAAAAUAUAGGUACAUCAAAUUCUGGCCUGGCAAAGGCAGCAAAAUCCAAAACCUGCAUUGCUUCAUUUUCAAUGCUCAAACUACGUAGGAGUCUAAUCUUGGGAGCCUGGAAUGACAGCAUUUUAAGCUCCGUUCUUCCAUCGAUUGCAGUCAUGGAGCUAAAGUUUUCCUGGAGAGGAGAAGGGACCAAAGCGGUGUGGCUUUUGGUUUCAUUAAUAGCAAAAUGAAUGAAUUUCUGGUAAGAGAAAGCAGAGACUUGAAAUACGUGAUGCUUGAUCUUCUGGCUUCUGCAAUUAUCGUUAGUGCUAGUGAUGAAGGAGGUUAGUAACUGAGAUUUUAGUGAUAAAGAAGAGCAUAGCAAAGAAGAUGAAUGCAUUGAAGUAAAAAAACUGUGGAGUUCAGUCUCAGCAUCACCGAUUUCAAGCGUUUCGUUAAGCUUUCUUAUUGAUUUGAUUAUUACUAUGUAAAAAGAUGACUGCCGUUCGAGUUUGCCCGCUUUGGCUGUUUCUUGAUACUGG
This 1497-nucleotide unclassified non-coding RNA is filed under the name Hevea brasiliensis (rubber tree). The record is from RNAcentral. Lineage: Eukaryota; Viridiplantae; Streptophyta; Magnoliopsida; Malpighiales; Euphorbiaceae.